GAUGAACGCUGGCGGCGUGCCUAAUACAUGCAAGUCGAGCGAACAGACGAGGAGCUUGCUCCUCUGACGUUAGCGGCGGACGGGUGAGUAACACGUGGAUAACCUACCUAUAAGACUGGGAUAACUUCGGGAAACCGGAGCUAAUACCGGAUAAUAUAUUGAACCGCAUGGUUCAAUAGUGAAAGACGGUUUUGCUGUCACUUAUAGAUGGAUCCGCGCCGCAUUAGCUAGUUGGUAAGGUAACGGCUUACCAAGGCAACGAGGCGUAGCCGACCUGAGAGGGUGAUCGGCCACACUGGAACUGAGACACGGUCCAGACUCCUACGGGAGGCAGCAGUAGGGAAUCUGCCGCAAUAGGCGAAAGCCUGACGGAGCAACGCCGCGUGAGUGAUGAAGGUCUUCGGAUCGUAAAACUCUGUUAUUAGGGAAGAACAAAUGUGUAAGUAACUAUGCACGUCUUGACGGUACCUAAUCAGAAAGCCACGGCUAACUACGUG
RNAcentral lists this ribosomal RNA (497 nucleotides) under uncultured bacterium. Its description in RNAcentral is "partial 16S ribosomal RNA". It matches the Rfam family "Bacterial small subunit ribosomal RNA", at positions 28 to 507 of the family's 1533-position model. The record is from RNAcentral.